This 337-nucleotide long non-coding RNA is filed under the name Lathyrus oleraceus (garden pea). Its description in RNAcentral is "Pisum sativum (pea) long non-coding RNA (PSAT_LNC024621)". The record is from RNAcentral. Lineage: Eukaryota; Viridiplantae; Streptophyta; Magnoliopsida; Fabales; Fabaceae.
AAUUUUGUGGUGGUUUUUAAGGGUUGAAGAUGUUGUGUGAUGGUUAAUCUUCCGCGUUUUGAUAAAGACGGGAGGCAGAGAGUGUGUGGAGAAGACGAUGAAUAGUGGUGCUUGUGUGAUGAAGAAAAGUUGAACAACUUUUCUGUUUCUCUUUCUUUUUUGAGAGCGAUGAGAGAGUUAGUUGAGUGAGUGGUGUUAUUCGUAGGUAGAGAAAAGUGAACAGUGCAUUUUUAAUGAGGGAGAGUGAGUGGGAGUGGAAAGAGAGAGAAACGUGAGUCCGAGGGAGCGAGAGAGAAAAGUCAGUACUUUUUAACUUUCUUUAUUUUUUUUAUUUUUU